Long non-coding RNA from Rosa rugosa (rugosa rose), 827 nucleotides. RefSeq lists it as uncharacterized. The transcript is spliced from 3 exons. The record is from RefSeq and is a predicted model, not a curated record. NCBI's taxonomy places the organism in Eukaryota, Viridiplantae, Streptophyta, Magnoliopsida, Rosales, Rosaceae.
AAGCAAGACACUGUAACAGAGAGACGAAGAAGAAGAAGGGGUUGCCGGAGCAAUCUUCCGAAAAUGGUGAAGCCUUCGUCGUCGUCGUCCUCUACGAGCCAGGACUCCCUUGCCCUUUUCAAUUCUCUGAGAUCGGCUUACUCCGCCACUCCUACCGCUCUCAAGAUCAUUGAUUUCUAUGUUGGUUUCGCUGUAUCCACAGCUAUCAUCCAGGCUUUUGAAGCACCAGUUGCUGUAAUGUGAAAAGGGACUUGAAGAAUCAAACUUUUAGACAAACUAAACAAUGCAAGUCAUAUAACUCAAGGAAGAGGACAUAUACCAGUUAAUCAAACACAAGCUUUAGUCCAGUUUUCCUCUACCUCUUGGGGUCUUAUCUUAAUACUCGGACACAAGACAUGAAGCUCUACUACAUAAAUUGCAUGAUGAAUAUCAAAAUUUGUUAGGAUAUAGGCAUUACAUGAGCAUGACAACAUGUAGCAUAACUCAUACAUGAAAAUAUUAUUUACAUAUCAUUUGUCUUGAUAUCGAUUCAAUGUUGUGAAGUUGAGUCUCAGUUCUUGAUAGAGAAAAGUCCUAAAAUUUGUUUUUGUUGGAGUGUUUGGGCUUUAUAUGUUAAAGGACAUAAUGUCCUAUAGACCACUUCUUUUCCAACCAUGAGCCCAACAACCCUCCCUUUAUAACUAUUUGAUUACACGCUGAGCGCAUGUUUUACAACUGUUUGAUUCACCAUAUCCACUUCUCUAUUGCCUAAAUGAAAUCCUGUGUUGCAACUUGAUGUUGGUUAAUUAAUUCUUGGGCCUUUUAAUUCUUUAUUUGAUUAUCUACUU